Non-coding RNA from Mustela putorius furo (domestic ferret), 47 nucleotides. The record is from Rfam. Lineage: Eukaryota; Metazoa; Chordata; Mammalia; Carnivora; Mustelidae.
CCAAAGGCUCUUUUCAGAGCCCCUCCAUUGUCCCCUAAAGGAGCUGU